CAGUGGGAGGUAGUCUCACCGAGGCAAGAGUCAGGAGCCUCGUAGCUGGACGGCAGGGUGUAGGGAGACCGAACCCCUGAAGCCCGUCGACAAACCCAUCUUUGGGAUGGGAAGCGAGUCAUUGGGCCGUAACGAAA
This is a non-coding RNA of Candidatus Rokubacteria bacterium GWA2_70_23, 137 nucleotides long. The record is from Rfam. Lineage: Bacteria; Candidatus Rokuibacteriota.